This 253-nucleotide ribosomal RNA is filed under the name uncultured bacterium. RNAcentral's name for it is "partial 16S ribosomal RNA". It matches the Rfam family "Bacterial small subunit ribosomal RNA", at positions 524 to 776 of the family's 1533-position model. The record is from RNAcentral.
UACGGGGGGGGCAAGCGUUGUCCGGAAUUACUGGGCGUAAAGGGCUCGUAGGUUGCCAACUAAGUCAGACGUGAAAUCCCUCGGCUUAACCGGGGAACUGCGUCUGAUACUGGAUGGCUUGAGUUCGGGAGAGGGAUGCGGAAUUCCAGGUGUAGCGGUGAAAUGCGUUGAUAUCCUAAGGAACACCGGUGGCGAAAGCGGCGUACUGGGUCUUAUCUGACGCUGAGGCACGAAAGCUAGGGGAGCGAACGGG